Phyllostomus discolor (pale spear-nosed bat) is the source of this 107-nucleotide small nuclear RNA. Lineage: Eukaryota; Metazoa; Chordata; Mammalia; Chiroptera; Phyllostomidae. The record is from RefSeq and is a predicted model, not a curated record.
GUGCUUGCUUCAGUAGCACAUAUACUAAAAUUGGAAUGAUACUGAGCAGAUUAACAUGCCCACGGUACAAGGAUGACACACAAGUCCGUGAGGCAUUCUGAAUAUAU